RNAcentral lists this transfer RNA (77 nucleotides) under Luteimonas sp. RNAcentral's name for it is "tRNA-His". It matches the Rfam family "tRNA". Rfam says of the family: Transfer RNA (tRNA) molecules are approximately 80 nucleotides in length. Their secondary structure includes four short double-helical elements and three loops (D, anti-codon, and T loops). The record is from RNAcentral. Lineage: Bacteria; Pseudomonadati; Pseudomonadota; Gammaproteobacteria; Lysobacterales; Lysobacteraceae. RNAcentral also lists the same sequence under 3 other names.
GUGGGUGUAGCUCAGCUGGUUAGAGCACCGGAUUGUGAUUCCGGGGGUCGUGGGUUCAAAUCCCAUCAUCCACCCCA